Sapajus apella (tufted capuchin) is the source of this 648-nucleotide long non-coding RNA. RefSeq lists it as uncharacterized. NCBI's taxonomy places the organism in Eukaryota, Metazoa, Chordata, Mammalia, Primates, Cebidae. The transcript is spliced from 2 exons. The record is from RefSeq and is a predicted model, not a curated record.
CCUCCCCUGCCCCCUCAGCCGCCGGGCGGCAGAAGGAGGCGGCCAGCCUACUCCUGCCCCUCAGCCGGACGAACCGCGGCUGCCGCGCCUGUCACCUCUGCACCUGCCUGGCUGAGCAGAAAAAAAUUUAAAUUUAAAACAGAAAUGGCCACAUAAGGACAAUUCAGAUGAAGGGCAAGCGGACUGACAUCGCGCACUUGGGUCUUUCCUGGAAAGACGGCGGCGCUGUGGGAGAAGCCUAGUCCUCCGGCUUGUCCCAGGACCCGCCCCGAAGGGCGUUGGGAGCGCGGUGAGGACGUGGCUGUCCCCUUGCGCAUCUCACUCCGGAGACAGGUUCCGCAUCUCGGCCGCUUGGCUCCAAGAUAAUCUGGCGAAAGUUUAGAGGCGGCCAGCCCCUCCCGGGGACUCAGCCCCUAGAUUCAGCUUCUUCAGCAAGAAAAAACCUCCCACGCCCUGCGAACUCGCAGCGUGCCUCUCCGGGCUUCCGGCGUGGGAGUCCCAGCUACACUUUCGAGCCCUUUGCUUGGUCCGCAUCUAUCAGCUCCUCGAUUACGGAAAGCGCAGUGAGGACGGAGGGAACUGCGGCCUCACGUACCAGGCCUCUGUAGUCCCCCACGUGGCUGGGUCACAAGGAAGCAAUUCCACAAU